AUGAACGAAGUCUGGGCAACCCCCAAGCUCCACAGAAAAGAAGCACUAUGCCGGAACAGCCAAAAUGUGGCACUGUUAUCAUCAAGAGCAGUCACUUUCAUGCAUUGUUUUUAUGGUCUCCAUAAAUAUUAUGAGCCUGAGGCGCUUCCAGCAGAGAUACAUGAGUCAUCCAUUCCAACAAAUACGUUUGAACGGGAAAUUGCAGAAAGCUGACAUCCACAGAAGCAGAAGACAUCAGUUCCACUGUUUUGGCAGAUGCAUACCAAUUCCCUGACAUCUCUUGGGGCCGCAGAUGACAUUUUACAGACUUGAAGGCUCCAGCUUGCAGGUCAUUAGCAUAAGACCGUAAUAAGACACAUCAUUCAUAGGACCACAAUCUAAUAAUACACUGAAACUGAAAUCCAGGCUUCCUUUAGCAGCAACUUCCCUGAUGCUUGGUAACUCAACAAAACAACAGGCAUUCAUAAAUCUGAAUCAGUUAUGGACUACUAAUAUGUUUUGAAAUAAAAUUAAUAGAUUGACUGUAGUGAAUUACA
RNAcentral lists this long non-coding RNA (536 nucleotides) under Numida meleagris (helmeted guineafowl). RNAcentral's name for it is "lncRNA (ENSNMEG00000018616.1)". Lineage: Eukaryota; Metazoa; Chordata; Aves; Galliformes; Numididae. The record is from RNAcentral.